This 1000-nucleotide ribosomal RNA is filed under the name Vibrio owensii. RNAcentral describes it as "bacterial SSU rRNA". It matches the Rfam family "Bacterial small subunit ribosomal RNA", at positions 53 to 1032 of the family's 1533-position model. The record is from RNAcentral. Lineage: Bacteria; Pseudomonadati; Pseudomonadota; Gammaproteobacteria; Vibrionales; Vibrionaceae.
ACAUUGCCAGUCGAGCGGAACGAGUUAUCUGAACCUUCGGGGAACGAUAACGGCGUCGAGCGGCGGACGGGUGAGUAAUGCCUAGGAAAUUGCCCUGAUGUGGGGGAUAACCAUUGGAAACGAUGGCUAAUACCGCAUGAUGCCUACGGGCCAAAGAGGGGGACCUUCGGGCCUCUCGCGUCAGGAUAUGCCUAGGUGGGAUUAGCUAGUUGGUGAGGUAAGGGCUCACCAAGGCGACGAUCCCUAGCUGGUCUGAGAGGAUGAUCAGCCACACUGGAACUGAGACACGGUCCAGACUCCUACGGGAGGCAGCAGUGGGGAAUAUUGCACAAUGGGCGCAAGCCUGAUGCAGCCAUGCCGCGUGUGUGAAGAAGGCCUUCGGGUUGUAAAGCACUUUCAGUCGUGAGGAAGGUAGUGUAGUUAAUAGCUGCAUUAUUUGACGUUAGCGACAGAAGAAGCACCGGCUAACUCCGUGCCAGCAGCCGCGGUAAUACGGAGGGUGCGAGCGUUAAUCGGAAUUACUGGGCGUAAAGCGCAUGCAGGUGGUUUGUUAAGUCAGAUGUGAAAGCCCGGGGCUCAACCUCGGAAUAGCAUUUGAAACUGGCAGACUAGAGUACUGUAGAGGGGGGUAGAAUUUCAGGUGUAGCGGUGAAAUGCGUAGAGAUCUGAAGGAAUACCGGUGGCGAAGGCGGCCCCCUGGACAGAUACUGACACUCAGAUGCGAAAGCGUGGGGAGCAAACAGGAUUAGAUACCCUGGUAGUCCACGCCGUAAACGAUGUCUACUUGGAGGUUGUGGCCUUGAGCCGUGGCUUUCGGAGCUAACGCGUUAAGUAGACCGCCUGGGGAGUACGGUCGCAAGAUUAAAACUCAAAUGAAUUGACGGGGGCCCGCACAAGCGGUGGAGCAUGUGGUUUAAUUCGAUGCAACGCGAAGAACCUUACCUACUCUUGACAUCCAGAGAACUUUCCAGAGAUGGAUUGGUGCCUUCGGGAACUCUGA